Lewinella sp. 4G2 is the source of this 97-nucleotide ribosomal RNA. It matches the Rfam family "Bacterial large subunit ribosomal RNA", at positions 2828 to 2925 of the family's 2925-position model. NCBI's taxonomy places the organism in Bacteria, Pseudomonadati, Bacteroidota, Saprospiria, Saprospirales, Lewinellaceae. The record is from Rfam.
UGAGGGUCGCAGAAGAUGACUGCGUUGAUAGGCUAUAGGUGGAAGUGCAGUAAUGUAUGGAGCCGAGUAGUACUAAUCGCCCGACAGCUUCCUUUUU